This 2168-nucleotide small RNA is filed under the name Cryptococcus neoformans H99. RNAcentral describes it as "Cryptococcus neoformans var. grubii H99 hypothetical RNA". Lineage: Eukaryota; Fungi; Basidiomycota; Tremellomycetes; Tremellales; Cryptococcaceae. The record is from RNAcentral.
UUUCAUUCCAUAAUUUUAGUACAAAUACUACUGUCGUCAUCAGUGAGCAGAAGGUUUAAUUGGUCGUUUCAGGUACCUUACAAGAGGUACAAUACGACGACUUGAUAAUGGGAGGACAGCAGUACAUUUACGAUCUUCGCACGCGCUUCAGCUGCCAGCGGGGGGGGAAGAUGAUCAUGCUCCUCUUCUUCUCUUUUGUCUUCCUUUCCUAUUCUUCUUCUCUUACCUCUUUCAGUUCUCGAAUAAUCCUAUUCCUCAGUCAACAACUUGUGGUGCGCGUCAUUUGAAUGUGGAUACCCAUAAUCCGUUUGGUUUGUAUAGCGUUAAAUUAAAGAAGCUUGCUCUGCGUUGGAGUUCAUCGUCAUAUCUAAUCCCUUCCUCGUACGUCAGUACCCAUGUAAUGUGUAAUUCACCAUGCAAUCCAUACAUCAUAUGAUACAUCUGGAACACCGACGUCUCUCAUCCCCUUUCAACUAUCUCACGCCCUUUAUUCAUCGUCAUCCUUCUUCACCUUCUUUUUCUUCGGCUUCUCUUCCUCACUCCCACUCCCACUUGUCUCCUUUGCCUUCGUUCGCUUCGCUUGCGUCUUCUUCCGCAGUUCUUCCAUCAUAGGAUCGCUUGCAUCUGAAGCCAUGCCAGAAUCGUCGUCAGAAUCAGAUUCACUUGGUGAGCCGCCGUCAGAAGAUUCAUCUUCAAAGUCUUCAUCUUCUGUCAUGGCUUCAUCAGCAAACAAUAUACUGUAUGAGCAAAACCGGAGAGGGGAAGGGGCCGCUUACCAGACUCAUCUUCAUCAUCAUCGGCUAGUUUCUUCACAGGCUUAGUCUUCGAUUUGUCAUUCUUUGCCCUCGAUGGUCUCUCGUCUUCAGAAGCACUUUCCAUCUCCUCAUCAUCGUCGCUAAACGGCUCAUCGAUAUCAACAAUUGCCUCCUCCAUCUCAUUCUUGAGUCGGAUGUUCUUCGACUGCAAGAACGAGCUGAUCGGCCCGACUUCUUGCUUGUUGAUAGCGCUGAACACGUGAUCAGCGCCUCCAGUCUUCGACACGACGCGCAUGUCGAAUGUUCGGGCGGAAGCGACACCACCGCCGACACGUGAAAAUGAAAUGCUGUCGGUUUUGGAGAAAUCGAUAAGGAUGGGUUGUUUAGAGAUGAAAAUGAGACCUUUUUCGAGGAAGUAGAGUUCUCCUUGGACAGCCUUGACGUUAGCUCUAAUACCGUUGAGGCCUUGAGCGCUGAGAAGUGAAUUAGCUUGUGUUUGCAUGGUAAAAAGAUGGCAAGAAACUCACUUUCUCAAGCUUCCGGGGGGUGUCACCUUCUUUCCAGUCAAUGCUUUGAGCACACGAGAGACGACCUGGAAGGUUGUCGCUUCAUAAGUUUUUUCCAAGUCAGGGUACUGUGCGAGUUCCUCGCUACGACUGAUCAGUACAUAUCAAUGGAAAUAACAAUGUAACUUACUCUGUGAGAUUGAGUUCCGCAUUGACGACCUCAUCCUUGGGCCACUGUGCGACAAGGAAGGGAUAUCGAGUAGCACCUUGUCGAAUAGGAGGGUCGAGACCAAGGACGAGCUGAACGUGCAAAUCGUCGAGCUUGGGAAGAAGAAAGAUUCGGUGAAUAGAAGUAAAUGGGACUCGGUGGUCGGUGGAUUUACCGACAAGUCGGAUGGAGUCGGCGUAAACUUCGAUAGAGAAUCGACCUCUACAAAUAAAUCAGCGAUUGUUUCGAAGGGAUAGCAAGUGGAUGAACUUACCUGGGUGUCAAGAUUAAGCAGUCUUCAAACACCACAAUGCUAUCCCCGACGACAGCUCCAAUAUCCGCCUUUUCCUUGAUCAAACUGUGGAACGCAUCCGCCGCACUGACUUCAUUCCCCUCCUCAUCCAACUCUGUCUCCUCGCCACCACUACCAGCAUCGCUACCAGCCUUUUUCGUACUCUUGCCAGGAAUGUAGAAACGCAUCUCAACCAUUUCGUCAGGAGGACGCUUAUUGAGAUCUUUGGGGUCAAAUUUGUAAUUGGAAGGAGGGUUGAAUUCGAGCGCGACUUCGUAUUUGCCGGCAAUGUUGGAGUUGGCGACUUGGGAGAGGGGAACAUCGAACGCGGUUUUGCCUUGAACUUGGAAGACUAGAUCACUCCCUAUCAAUUUGUUAGUCUGCUCGGGAUUCGAUGGAUAAGAUUG